RNAcentral lists this long non-coding RNA (1040 nucleotides) under Olea europaea (common olive). RNAcentral describes it as "long non-coding RNA (OEUR_LNC000831)". The record is from RNAcentral. Lineage: Eukaryota; Viridiplantae; Streptophyta; Magnoliopsida; Lamiales; Oleaceae.
UCGUCUUCUCUCCAAACUCUCCCCUACCCUAGUGGCUGCGUGGGUUGGGUUUUAGCCUAUUAGGUAGCGGGGUGUGGAAGAAGAAGAAUAAUUUUUCAUAUUUAAUUUUUUUAAUUACUUUAUUUGUUUUAUGUAGAAAAAUAUAAAGUUACAAUUUUGUCCUUAUAUAAAAUUUGAUUUAAACCUAGCCAAUUUUUUAGCAAUUUGAACAAAUUCAUCUAUUUGUCAUCCAAUCGCACAUGCUUGAAAGGUUUGAUACCUCAAGUAUAACAAAUGAAAGAUCAGGGUAAAAUUUAAAUGUUUAGAGCCGUGACUGCAAUUAUCUCUUAAGAAAUAAAAACCAGUCCCUUAUCCAUUUGCAUCUCUUCUGCUCUUUGGACAUAAUUUGUCUCUCUCUCAGAUCCUUCUCUCUCCUCGGAUCUUGAAAUCUCGACAGUGAAUGGGUCUCAGAAUGCUAUAUGGCCUGGUUUUUCUGACAUUUUCCAGCGCCUGUUUCCUCUGCUUGUAUCUCAUGCUGCAGCCUGUGUUCUACUUCACCUCUUGAGAGAUAGGUGGUUCAGCGGCGGAAAUGGACCGGCGAGAUUAGUUUCUGUUAGUGUGUAUUUUCAGAUCUGGUUUUUCCCCUUCUUUAUUUAUUUUAGAUGGUGUGGUAUGCUUCGACGAGAAUGGUACUUAAUGGUUUUCGUUGGACUUUCUAAUUUAUAAAAAAUAUAUGUAUAUUUUUUUUUAUUGAAGCUUCCUGAUUCUUUCAUUCAUUUUAUUUUUGUCUAGUAUAUGCUCCCAGAAUAUUUGGAAUUAUUAAUUGAUAAUAAGGUAACAUUUUUAAUUUGAACUAAUUAAUUAUCGAUUUUGAUUUGGAUAAAAUUAGGGCUUGACAUGGUUCAAUUCGAUCCUCGAAAUUUUCGGGUAUUUAGUAAGUGAAAUCGUCAGGUCCAAAUUUAAUUAUGAAAUUGUUCGAGUUCGAUUCGAUUCGAUUUCAUUCGUUUUUCAAGUUCCGUAUUAUAACUAAAUUUUUUGAUAUUUGCAAAAUUACAUCGAAC